Molecule: ribosomal RNA, 436 nt
Filed under: uncultured bacterium
Lineage: Bacteria
Description: partial 16S ribosomal RNA
Rfam family: Bacterial small subunit ribosomal RNA
Source: RNAcentral
AACGAACGCUGGCGGCAUGCCUAACACAUGCAAGUCGAACGAGAUCCUUCGGCGUCUAGUGGCGCCCGGGUGCGUAACGCGUGGGGAUCCACCCUUAGGUUCGGCCUAACAGUUAGAAAUGACUGCUAAUACCGGAGGAUGACGUUAAGUCCAAAGAUCUAUCGCCUGAGGAUGAGCGCGCGUAGGAUUAGCUAGUUGGUGUGGUAAAGGCGCACCAAGGCGACGAUCCGUAGCUGGUCUGAUAGGAUGAUCAGCCACACUGGGACUGAGACACGGCCCAGACUCCUACGGGAGGCAGCAGUGGGGAAUAUUGGACGAUGGGCGCAAGCCUGAUCCAGCAACGCCGCGUGAGUGAUGAAGGCCUUAGGGUUGUAAAGCUCUUUUACCCGAGAUGAUAAUGACAGUAUCGGGAGAAUAAGCCCCGGCUAACUCCGUG